AACGUAGGUUCCGAGCGUUAUCCGGAUUUACUGGGCGUAAAGCGCGUUCAGGCGGUUCGGCAAGUCGGGCAUGAAAUCUCUCGGCUCAACCGGGAGAGGUUGUCCGAUACUGCUGGACUUGAGGGCAGUAGAGGGUGGUGGAAUUCCGGGUGUAGUGGUGAAAUGCGUAGAUAUCUGGAGGAACACCGGUGGCGAAGGCGGCAUCCUGGACCAAUACUGACGCUGAGGAGCGAAAGCCAGGGGAGCAAACGGG
Molecule: ribosomal RNA, 253 nt
Filed under: uncultured bacterium
Lineage: Bacteria
Description: partial 16S ribosomal RNA
Rfam family: Bacterial small subunit ribosomal RNA
Source: RNAcentral